RNAcentral lists this ribosomal RNA (636 nucleotides) under Staphylococcus epidermidis. RNAcentral describes it as "bacterial SSU rRNA". It matches the Rfam family "Bacterial small subunit ribosomal RNA", at positions 59 to 677 of the family's 1533-position model. The record is from RNAcentral. Lineage: Bacteria; Bacillati; Bacillota; Bacilli; Caryophanales; Staphylococcaceae.
CAGUCGAGCGAACAGACGAGGAGCUUGCUCCUCUGACGUUAGCGGCGGACGGGUGAGUAACACGUGGAUAACCUACCUAUAAGACUGGGAUAACUUCGGGAAACCGGAGCUAAUACCGGAUAAUAUAUUGAACCGCAUGGUUCAAUAGUGAAAGACGGUUUUGCUGUCACUUAUAGAUGGAUCCGCGCCGCAUUAGCUAGUUGGUAAGGUAACGGCUUACCAAGGCAACGAUGCGUAGCCGACCUGAGAGGGUGAUCGGCCACACUGGAACUGAGACACGGUCCAGACUCCUACGGGAGGCAGCAGUAGGGAAUCUUCCGCAAUGGGCGAAAGCCUGACGGAGCAACGCCGCGUGAGUGAUGAAGGUCUUCGGAUCGUAAAACUCUGUUAUUAGGGAAGAACAAAUGUGUAAGUAACUAUGCACGUCUUGACGGUACCUAAUCAGAAAGCCACGGCUAACUACGUGCCAGCAGCCGCGGUAAUACGUAGGUGGCAAGCGUUAUCCGGAAUUAUUGGGCGUAAAGCGCGCGUAGGCGGUUUUUUAAGUCUGAUGUGAAAGCCCACGGCUCAACCGUGGAGGGUCAUUGGAAACUGGAAAACUUGAGUGCAGAAGAGGAAAGUGGAAUUCCAUGUGUA